AGGACCGCCACUGCUGUCGCCGCCGCUGCCAGAAUAACGGGGUCCCCGUAUUAACGUCACGCCGCCCGCGUCAGUGCAGUGGGGCCCGAUAACAGAACGUCAGUAGUGUGCGAGACACGCGCCGUGGUCCACCGUUUCGCCCGCACAUUAGGCGAAGACGUUUCGAUCUCGAUUUAGUCGUGUAGUCGUACAACAGCAGCUAUAGUGUAGUCGCAGCAGCCGCGCGAAAUUUUCACAGUAGCGAUUGCGUAGUUAUUUUUCAAUUAGACGCGAAAAAUCGUUAUCGCCCGCCGACAUUCGUCCCGGGUAGCCGCCUCCACAGCAGCCGCGGAAUGCCCGACGGUCGUCUUUCAGUAACGGAAAGUCGUCGGUUCGCGGUGAAUACACACACAGAGCCUGAGCAGACUAGUUCGAUCGAUCGGUUUCACAACGACGAUAGUAUUACCGUCGCGUCCACGGCGAUGUAGUACAGUACCCGGUGGUCGGUCAGAUUUUCGCUUUACCACUCCAUUCACAUUGAAAGUGUUACCCCGUUUUCGAGCAAAUAAAAUUAAUACGGUCGGUUGAAAAAUAUCGAUUAUUGUUUUCCCGCUUUUAAAAAAUAAAACAACUGCGCGUAAGUUCGACCCGGUCCGUCAGUCAUCAACGUAUUUUGGUAUUAAAUUGUAGGCGAUCGAAUUGAAAUCGUCGUCCACGACGGCGGACACCACCAUCCGCCUUGCCAUGCAUGCGAUGCUGGCAGCGUGGACGUUACUCGGCGUGGCCGCGUCGUCGGACCCUUGGCCGGCCGCUGCGUCUACCGUCGACGAGACAGCCGACUCGUACACAACCGCGUACCUGAACGUGACCAGCUACGACUUGGCCACGGGCGUCGUGGUUCAGACGGAAAAAUCAGAAAUCGGAAAGUUCGGCGAGUAUCACGUGGGGGCCGCGUCCGGGAUGCUGUUGCACGUGAUCGGCACAGACGGGGACCGCAACGGGUGUGCGCCCCCCGUCCACGGCGUCCAGGAACCGCCGGACGCCGGGCCCUGGAUAGCGCUGGUGCGCAGGGGCAAGUGCAGUUUCCAGACCAAAGUGGACAACGCGCGACGGGCUGGUGCCUCAGCCGUGAUCGUCUACAAUGACCGUGAAGCCACCGACCUCGACAAAAUGAAACUGAUGCCUUCCGAUCCCAGAAAUGUCAGUGCAGUUUUCACGUAUAAAUGGAAGGGCGAGGACAUGGCCCGAAUGUUGGACGACAUGACCAGGAGGGUGAUGGUGAAAAUCACAAUAGCCAGUCAUUGCACCAGGCCAUACGGUAACAUUAACAGAACUUCCGUAUUGUUUGUAAGCAUAUCAUUCAUAGUGCUUAUGGUCAUAUCUUUGGCAUGGCUUGUAUUCUACUACAUACAAAGGUUCCGGUAUAUACACGCUAAAGACCAACUGUCGAGACGAUUAUGUAAUGCGGCCAAAAAAGCGUUGUCCAAGAUACCUACCAAGCACAUCAAAAUGGAUGACAAGGAAAUCGUUGGUGAUGGUGACUGUUGUGCAGUGUGCAUUGAACCAUACAGACCGUCCGAGGUGGUUCGGAUACUGCCGUGCCGACAUGAAUUCCACAAAAGCUGUGUAGAUCCUUGGCUAUUAGAGCACCGAACUUGCCCAAUGUGCAAAAUGGACAUACUCAAGCAUUACGGGUUCUUGUUCACAGGCAGUCAAGAGAGUUUCCUGCACGUGGAAGUCGAAGAGGUGACCAACGAUUUCGACGUGUACCAGUACGCACGUGGUCGGAGUUUCAUGGACACGGCGCAAAAUUCGAGAACGAACCAGCAAUUUGAACCCCCCUACCCACGAAAAUUUAAAUCCGAGGCCGAAAUUACGUGUGAGUGUUGUGCGUGUGUGUGUGCGCAGAUACCGGACGUAGCCGCGGUGGCAGUGGCGGCGGCGGCAGCGGUCGUGUGCGAAUCGCCCGACAGUAGGUCGUCGACGCCCGACGAACUGACGCCCGCGCUGGCCCAACACGACGGCGGCGGCGCCGGCGGUGGCAGUGGCGACGGCCGUUCUACAGACGCCGCCACCAACUGCACAAUGGUCGCCGCCGGCACCAACCGAUCGACGUCAUUCGAAGAGCAGUCUCCGGUCCACUCUGUUAGCGUACCUACAACAGCUAAAUAGUCUGACGAUGGCCGACGCACUCACAAUCACGACUGUAUUUUAUUGAAUAACUAUACUUGUUAUUUUUAUAACAUACACCUGUUCCGCAAGACCGUUUCCGGAUAGCGUGUGUUUGUGUGCGUGUGUGCGUGGUUUAUACCACAGGAAUCCAAAACAAUAAUCGACUCUGAUUGGUGGCACAGCCGACUAGGUCCACUGCGACAGACGCGUUCUUCAGAUGGUUUCUGAAACAUCAAAACAAUGAUUCAGGACGGAUGUGAUACUAGGAAUUAAGAUGACUUAAACUUUGUAAUAGAAUGUAUCUUCAGUUUAAGUCUUAUUAUUAUAGAGAUUAGGAUUAGGUACAAAAAAAAAUAUAUUGUAUAAUUUAAUGAAAUUGACUUUUCAGUAUAAGUUAUUAAAGCCGUAUGAAUAAAC
This 2568-nucleotide unclassified non-coding RNA is filed under the name Acyrthosiphon pisum (pea aphid). RNAcentral's name for it is "protein goliath, transcript variant X3". The record is from RNAcentral. Lineage: Eukaryota; Metazoa; Arthropoda; Insecta; Hemiptera; Aphididae.